RNAcentral lists this ribosomal RNA (253 nucleotides) under uncultured bacterium. Its description in RNAcentral is "partial 16S ribosomal RNA". It matches the Rfam family "Bacterial small subunit ribosomal RNA", at positions 524 to 776 of the family's 1533-position model. The record is from RNAcentral.
UACGGAGGGUGCAAGCGUUAUCCGGAUUUACUGGGUUUAAAGGGUGCGUAGGUGGGCAGUUAAGUCAGCGGUGAAAUCUCUGGGCUUAACCCAGAAACUGCCAUUGAUACUAUCUGUCUUGAAUAUCCUGGAGGUGAGCGGAAUAUGUCAUGUAGCGGUGAAAUGCUUAGAUAUGACAUAGAACACCAAUUGCGAAGGCAGCUCACUACGGGGUUAUUGACACUGAGGCACGAAAGCGUGGGGAUCAAACAGG